GUGCCAGCAGCCGCGGUAAUACGUAGGAUCCAAGCGUUGUCCGGAUUUACUGGGUGUAAAGGGUGCGUAGGCGGACUGGAAAGUCAGCAGUGAAAUCUCGCCGCUCAACGGCGAAACGUCUGUUGAUACUUCCAGUCUUGAAUCAGCGAGAGACGUGUGGAAUUCCGAGUGUAGCAGUGAAAUGUGUAGAUAUUCGGAAGAACACCAGUGGCGAAGGCAGCACGUUGGCGCUCGAUUGACGCUCAGGCACGAAAGCAUGGGGAUCAAACAGGAUUAGAUACCCUGGUAGUCC
Molecule: ribosomal RNA, 292 nt
Filed under: uncultured bacterium
Lineage: Bacteria
Description: partial 16S ribosomal RNA
Rfam family: Bacterial small subunit ribosomal RNA
Source: RNAcentral